RNAcentral lists this long non-coding RNA (569 nucleotides) under Anas platyrhynchos platyrhynchos (common mallard). RNAcentral describes it as "lncRNA (ENSAPLG00000021124.1)". Lineage: Eukaryota; Metazoa; Chordata; Aves; Anseriformes; Anatidae. The record is from RNAcentral.
UUUGGGUUUGGCGGGGGGGGGGGGGGGGGGAAGGGGAUUAGGGGGGAAGAAGAGGGAAAAAUAAAGCUCUUGUUCAAUAUACCACUGUCCUGCUAAGCAAGAACAAUGAGACUAUGACCACAAACAUCUUAAUUGCUCCCCAAGCACAUCUUACAGCGAUGACCUGCAUCCAUACUCUCAUCAGAAUACAGCAGUAUACUGUUGUCUCUUGGGAAGCCAUAGUUUUGUUUUUGUAGAUGUGUUGCUAUAGCUACCCAUGACAAUUAGUGAAGUUUUCUGAAGAUGGUCAGUCUCACCCGUACAAACUGAGCGAAAAUGAGCGAGCAGCUUGGUGGUGCUUAGCUGUCCAUUGGUGUGAAACCACCACACUGUAAUUAUCACGAUCAAGGCAGAUGACGUCUGUCUACAGCCCUGUAUCUAAAUACAGUGGAACCUUUAGAGAGAGAAAUCACUGCAGCAACUCUCAGAUGAAGAAAAGUUCAGUGUGUUUGUCUCACCAACAGCAAGUGCUGAUGUCCACUUUUGAACUGUCAUCAAGACUUCACUGGUAGUUAAUGAAAAGAAGUCAG